AUGAGCUUGUUUAAGGAAUUCAAGUAUGGACGUGGAGCAGCAGAUGGAUGGAUGUUAGCCAACACAAAAGUUGCACACGGCAGGUCUGAGAUCUUCCACUUGCUACUCGCUCUUGUCAAGACAUUAGGUGAUUAUAAGGCUGUCAUGGGUGAAGUGUUGGGGAAGCAUAACAAGGCUCUGGAGCAUCAAGUUCUUCCAAUUACUUCGGUAGAUGCCAAAGUAGUUCAGCCAGUUGCCCAAAAUAACCAAGUCUACCUUAAGCAAGGCCAUUGUCCAUCUCCAGAGAAGCGCAAGUCCAAUAGCCCACUAGAUAAGGCUAUCGAGGAGCCGUCUGAAAUAGAUGUACUUACUGCGUUAUUUGAAAUGAAUGGAUAUCUUGUUGACACAGUUUUGGGAUAA
RNAcentral lists this ribosomal RNA (399 nucleotides) under Triticum aestivum (bread wheat). RNAcentral's name for it is "partial small subunit ribosomal RNA". The record is from RNAcentral. Lineage: Eukaryota; Viridiplantae; Streptophyta; Magnoliopsida; Poales; Poaceae.